Molecule: RNase P RNA, 298 nt
Filed under: chicken gut metagenome
Description: Bacterial RNase P class A
Rfam family: Bacterial RNase P class A
About the family: Ribonuclease P (RNase P) is a ubiquitous endoribonuclease, found in archaea, bacteria and eukarya as well as chloroplasts and mitochondria. Its best characterised activity is the generation of mature 5'-ends of tRNAs by cleaving the 5'-leader elements of precursor-tRNAs. Cellular RNase Ps are ribonucleoproteins.
Source: RNAcentral
UAAACUUAUAUGAGGAAAGUCCGGACACCUAAGGGCAGAACGACGGAUAACAUCCGCCGGGGGCGACCCCAGGACAAGUGCCACAGAAAAGAAAACAACCGAAAGGUUCAGGUGCAACGGUAGUGUAAAAGACUACCAGCGGUAUUGAGAAAUACCGGCUCGGUAAACUCCGUUCGGGUGCAAGAUUGAAUAAAAGGUUAAGGUGACCCGCCGUCUUUUGAAAAAUCGCUUGAGGCAGAAGGCAACUUCUAUCCCAGACAGAUGAUUGUUUAGAAACAGAAUCCGGCUUAUGACCUGC